CAGGCCUAACACAUGCAAGUCGAGGGGUAGAACACUUCGGUGUUUGAGACCGGCGCACGGGUGCGUAACGCGUAUGCAAUCUACCUUGUACAGGGGAAUAGCCCAGAGAAAUUUGGAUUAAUGCCCCAUAGUAUAUAACCUUCGCAUGUUGGUUAUAUUAAAGUUCCAACGGUACAAGAUGAGCAUGCGUCCCAUUAGUUAGUUGGUAAGGUAACGGCUUACCAAGACGAUGAUGGGUAGGGGUCCUGAGAGGGAGAUCCCCCACACUGGUACUGAGACACGGACCAGACUCCUACGGGAGGCAGCAGUGAGGAAUAUUGGUCAAUGGGCGCAAGCCUGAACCAGCCAUGCCGCGUGCAGGAAGACGGUCCUAUGGAUUGUAAACUGCUUUUAUACAGGAAGAAACCCUCCCACGUGUGGGAGAUGACGGUACUGUAAGAAUAAGAUGGUACUCGG
Molecule: ribosomal RNA, 456 nt
Filed under: uncultured bacterium
Lineage: Bacteria
Description: bacterial SSU rRNA
Rfam family: Bacterial small subunit ribosomal RNA
Source: RNAcentral